RNAcentral lists this ribosomal RNA (732 nucleotides) under bacterium B_C14_165. Its description in RNAcentral is "bacterial SSU rRNA". It matches the Rfam family "Bacterial small subunit ribosomal RNA", at positions 149 to 864 of the family's 1533-position model. The record is from RNAcentral.
UCGGGAAACCGGAGCUAAUACCGGAUAAUAUAUUGAACCGCAUGGUUCAAUAGUGAAAGACGGUUUUGCUGUCACUUAUAGAUGGAUCCGCGCCGCAUUAGCUAGUUGGUAAGGCAACGGCUUACCAAGGCAACGAUGCGUAGCCGACCUGAGAGGGUGAUCGGCCACACUGGAACUGAGACACGGUCCAGACUCCUACGGGAGGCAGCAGUAGGGAAUCUUCCGCAAUGGGCGAAAGCCUGACGGAGCAACGCCGCGUGAGUGAUGAAGGUCUUCGGAUCGUAAAACUCUGUUAUUAGGGAAGAACAAAUGUGUAAGUAACUAUGCACGUCUUGACGGUACCUAAUCAGAAAGCCACGGCUAACUACGUGCCAGCAGCCGCGGUAAUACGUAGGUGGCAAGCGUUAUCCGGAAUUAUUGGGCGUAAAGCGCGCGUAGGCGGUUUUUUAAGUCUGAUGUGAAAGCCCACGGCUCAACCGUGGAGGGUCAUUGGAAACUGGAAAACUUGAGUGCAGAAGAGGAAAGUGGAAUUCCAUGUGUAGCGGUGAAAUGCGCAGAGAUAUGGAGGAACACCAGUGGCGAAGGCGACUUUCUGGUCUGUAACUGACGCUGAUGUGCGAAAGCGUGGGGAUCAAACAGGGAUUACAUACCCUGGGUAGUCCACGCCGUAAACGAUGAGUGCUAAGUGUUAGGGGGUUUCCGCCCCUUUAGUGCUGCAGCUAACGCAUUUAA